AGCCCCAUCGUCUAGUGGCCAAGGAUACAGGGCUUUGAACCCUGGGACAGGAGUUCGAAUCUCCUUGGGGCUA
RNAcentral lists this transfer RNA (73 nucleotides) under Candidatus Iainarchaeum sp. Its description in RNAcentral is "tRNA-Gln". It matches the Rfam family "tRNA". Rfam says of the family: Transfer RNA (tRNA) molecules are approximately 80 nucleotides in length. Their secondary structure includes four short double-helical elements and three loops (D, anti-codon, and T loops). Lineage: Archaea; Nanobdellati; Candidatus Iainarchaeota; Candidatus Iainarchaeia; Candidatus Iainarchaeales; Candidatus Iainarchaeaceae. The record is from RNAcentral.